UGAGGAAUAUUGGACAAUGGGUGAGAGCCUGAUCCAGCCAUCCCGCGUGAAGGACGACGGCCCUAUGGGUUGUAAACUUCUUUUGUACAGGGAUAAACCUAUUUACGUGUAAAUAGCUGAAGGUACUGUACGAAUAAGCACCGGCUAACUCCGUGCCAGCAGCCGCGGUAAUACGGAGGGUGCAAGCGUUAUCCGGAUUUAUUGGGUUUAAAGGGUCCGUAGGCGGAUCCGUAAGUCAGUGGUGAAAUCUCAUAGCUUAACUAUGAAACUGCCAUUGAUACUGCGGGUCUUGAGUAAGGUAGAAGUAGCUGGAAUAAGUAGUGUAGCGGUGAAAUGCAUAGAUAUUACUUAGAACACCAAUUGCGAAGGCAGGUUACUAUGUCUUAACUGACGCUGAUGGACGAAAGCGUGGGGAGCGAACAGG
Molecule: ribosomal RNA, 424 nt
Filed under: uncultured Chryseobacterium sp.
Lineage: Bacteria; Pseudomonadati; Bacteroidota; Flavobacteriia; Flavobacteriales; Weeksellaceae
Description: bacterial SSU rRNA
Rfam family: Bacterial small subunit ribosomal RNA
Source: RNAcentral